CAGUAGCCACGGGAAUACGGAGGGGGCUAGCGUUGUUCGGAAUUACUGGGCGUAAAGCGUACGUAGGCGGCUUUGUAAGUUAGAGGUGAAAGCCUGGUGCUCAACACCAGAACUGCCUUUAAGACUGCAUCGCUUGAACGUCGGAGAGGUGAGUGGAAUUCCGAGUGUAGGGGUGAAAUUCGUAGAUAUUAGGAAGAACACCGGUGGCGAAGGCGGCGACCUGGUCCUUGACUGGCGCUGGGGCGCGAAAGCGUGGGGAGCAAACAGGAUUAGAGACCCCUGUAGUCCCUGUCUCUUAUAC
RNAcentral lists this ribosomal RNA (301 nucleotides) under uncultured bacterium. RNAcentral's name for it is "partial 16S ribosomal RNA". It matches the Rfam family "Bacterial small subunit ribosomal RNA", at positions 509 to 807 of the family's 1533-position model. The record is from RNAcentral.